Molecule: ribosomal RNA, 253 nt
Filed under: uncultured bacterium
Lineage: Bacteria
Description: partial 16S ribosomal RNA
Rfam family: Bacterial small subunit ribosomal RNA
Source: RNAcentral
UACGGGGGGGGCAAGCGUUGUUCGGAAUUACUGGGCGUAAAGGGCUCGUAGGCGGCCAGAUAAGUCCGCUGUGAAAUCUCGAGGCUCAACUUCGAGCUGUCGGUGGAAACUAUCUGGCUAGAGUCCGGAAGAGGAGAAUGGAAUUCCUGGUGUAGCGGUGAAAUGCGCAGAUAUCAGGAAGAACACCCGUGGCGAAGGCGGUUCUCUGGGACGGUACUGACGCUGAGACGCGAAAGCGUGGGGAGCGAACAGG